UACGGAGGGGGCUAGCGUUGCUCGGAAUCACUGGGCGUAAAGGGCGCGUAGGCGGCCGAUCAAGUCAGGGGUGAAAGCCUGUGGCUCAACCACAGAAUUGCCUUUGAUACUGUUUGGCUAGAGACCGGAAGAGGUCAGUGGAACUGCGAGUGUAGAGGUGAAAUUCGUAGAUAUUCGCAAGAACACCAGUGGCGAAGGCGGCUGACUGGUCCGGUUCUGACGCUGAGGCGCGAAAGCGUGGGGAGCAAACAGG
RNAcentral lists this ribosomal RNA (253 nucleotides) under uncultured bacterium. RNAcentral's name for it is "partial 16S ribosomal RNA". It matches the Rfam family "Bacterial small subunit ribosomal RNA", at positions 524 to 776 of the family's 1533-position model. The record is from RNAcentral.